This 253-nucleotide ribosomal RNA is filed under the name uncultured bacterium. Its description in RNAcentral is "partial 16S ribosomal RNA". It matches the Rfam family "Bacterial small subunit ribosomal RNA", at positions 524 to 776 of the family's 1533-position model. The record is from RNAcentral.
UACGAAGGGGGCUAGCGUUGUUCGGAAUCACUGGGCGUAAAGCGCACGUAGGCGGAUCAGUAAGUCAGGGGUGAAAUCCCGGGGCUCAACCUCGGAACUGCCUUUGAUACUGCUGGUCUCGAGUCCGGGAGAGGUGAGUGGAAUUCCUAGUGUAGAGGUGAAAUUCGUAGAUAUUAGGAAGAACACCAGUGGCGAAGGCGGCUCACUGGCCCGGUACUGACGCUGAGGUGCGAAAGCGUGGGGAGCAAACAGG